GGAUGUGAGGGAGAUCUGACUGCGACAUCUGUCACCCCAUUGAUCGCCAGGGUUGAUUCGGCUCAUCUGGCAGGUGUCCCCUUCCUCCCUCACCGCUCCAGGUGCGUCUCUCCCAAAGCUGUGCGCUGGGUCAAAGAGGGCGGCCUUCCCUGAAUAGAGACGGACCGGUCUUCGGUAGAGGGUAUACAGCUGCGCUCCCCUGCUAGAACCUCCAAACAAGCUCUCAAAAAUAGUUUAUUUAAUCUUUUAGUACCAGAGGAACUGUGGAGGACAUACGUUAUAUCAAGGUAAUAAAAUCUUCAAUCAUAUAAGAGCAAGAGACCUGCUCAUUUAAC
This is an unclassified non-coding RNA of Erinaceus europaeus (western European hedgehog), 335 nucleotides long. Its record names the gene 7SK. It matches the Rfam family "7SK RNA". From Rfam's summary of the family: 7SK was discovered as an abundant small nuclear RNA in the mid-70s but a possible function has only recently been suggested. Two independent studies have found that 7SK RNA binds the CDK9/cyclin T complex (known as elongation factor P-TEFb). P-TEFb activates transcription by phosphorylating the C-terminal domain of RNA polymerase II. The record is from Ensembl. NCBI's taxonomy places the organism in Eukaryota, Metazoa, Chordata, Mammalia, Eulipotyphla, Erinaceidae.